GACGAACGCUGGCGGCGUGCUUAACACAUGCAAGUCGAACGGAAAGGCCCUGCUUUUGUGGGGUUCUCGAGUGGCGAACGGGUGAGUAACACGUGAGUAACCUGCCCUUGACUUUGGGAUAACUUCAGGAAACUGGGGCUAAUACCGGAUAGGAGCUCCUGCUGCAUGGUGGGGGUUGGAAAGUUUCGGCGGUUGGGGAUGGACUCGCGGCUUAUCAGCUUGUUGGUGGGGUAGUGGCUUACCAAGGCUUUGACGGGUAGCCGGCCUGAGAGGGUGACCGGCCACAUUGGGACUGCGAGAGGGCCCAGACUCCUACGGGAGGCAGCAGGGGGGAAUAUUGCACAAUGGGCGGAAGCCUGAUGCAGCAACGCCGCGUGCGGGAUGACGGCCUUCGGGUUGUAAACCGCUUUCGCCUGUGACGAAGCGUGAGUGACGGUAAUGGGUAAAGAAGCACCGGCUAACUACGUG
RNAcentral lists this ribosomal RNA (468 nucleotides) under uncultured bacterium. Its description in RNAcentral is "partial 16S ribosomal RNA". It matches the Rfam family "Bacterial small subunit ribosomal RNA", at positions 28 to 507 of the family's 1533-position model. The record is from RNAcentral.